UACGGAGGGUGCAAACGUUGCUCGGAAUCAUUGGGCGUAAAGCGCACGUAGGCGGACCGCUAAGUCGGAUGUGAAAGCCCUCGGCUUAACCGAGGAAGUGCACUCGAAACUGACGGUCUUGAGUAUGGAAGAGGGUCGCGGAAUUCCCGGUGUAGAGGUGAAAUUCGUAGAUAUCGGGAGGAACACCAGUGGCGAAGGCGGCGACCUGGGCCAAUACUGACGCUGAGGUGCGAAAGCGUGGGGAGCAAACAGG
RNAcentral lists this ribosomal RNA (253 nucleotides) under uncultured bacterium. RNAcentral describes it as "partial 16S ribosomal RNA". It matches the Rfam family "Bacterial small subunit ribosomal RNA", at positions 524 to 776 of the family's 1533-position model. The record is from RNAcentral.